Oncorhynchus nerka (sockeye salmon) is the source of this 430-nucleotide long non-coding RNA. RefSeq lists it as uncharacterized. The record is from RefSeq and is a predicted model, not a curated record. Lineage: Eukaryota; Metazoa; Chordata; Actinopteri; Salmoniformes; Salmonidae. The transcript is spliced from 5 exons.
CAGUAACUCUGGACAGGGGAGAACUGUAUGGAGCUACACACUGGAGGUGGGCAGGGCUGGAAUGACGUGUCCUGUGGAGAGCUGAGGUUCUAUGUGUGUUCUAUGGAGACAAGAUCUGGUUUAGCAUCAUUGCCAAGUCAGAAGAAAACACACGAGAGAGAGCUGGUUGAAGAGGUGAGUAUUUAUGACGUCCUGUGGAGACCAGUGAGAGAGUAGCAGAUGAGAUCCUCUACUCAGCCUUCCUCAGAGGAUGUAUUCCAGACGUCUGCCUGCCCACUGCUAUGCUGACUUCUGCCACCAGGAGGUGCUAUACCUGGACAGAGUCAUCCCCAUGCUGCGGGUGCUGAUCAGAACAGUCCAGGGUCCUCCAGACAUCAUGAUGUUUCUCCAGAGAACACAUCAACGCUACCAGGAGUCUCUGAAGGAGGCC